Molecule: long non-coding RNA, 2684 nt
Filed under: Sus scrofa (pig)
Lineage: Eukaryota; Metazoa; Chordata; Mammalia; Artiodactyla; Suidae
Description: lncRNA (ENSSSCG00000043378.2)
Source: RNAcentral
GUUUUUUCUUUCUUUCUUUUUUUUUUUUUUUUUUUUUUUUUUUGUCUUUUUGCCUUUUCCCAGGCCGCUCUCAUGGCAUAUGGAGGUUCCCAGGCUAGGGGUUUAAUUGGAGCUGUAGCCGCUGGCCUACGCCAGAGCCACAGCAACGCGGGAUCCGAGCCGCGUCUGCAACCUACACCACACAGCUCAUGGCCACGCCGGAUCCUUAACCCACGGAGUAAGGCCAGGGAACGAACCCACAACCUCAUGGUUCCUAGUCGGAUUCGUUAACCACUGUGCCACGACAGGAACUCCCAGGCAGAUCUUUGAAUGCCACUAGCCAUCUCACACACGCAAGGCGGAAAACCACCGUCCCUUCUUGUCCUCAGGGUCCUUGGGGGUUUGCAGGGCUCCUGGUCCCCAGUGCACCGGCCCGUGAUGCCGGCCGUGUGGAGCCAUGGGCUGGGUGUGCAGAGGCAUCAGAAGUUUGGAGGUUACAGAGCACAAGGUGGGCAGCGCUGCCCCAGAGCAAGUUCCACGGGGGGUCCUUCUCGCCCCACCCCGACUCCACCUCGCCGGUCCUGAGGGCCCAGCUCCAUCAGCCCCUGAAACUGGACACGGAGAAGGCCGGUCCAGUCCACACAGCCCCUCUGCACCAUGAGGCUGGCACAUGGCCUCUCCCAAAGUACCGUCCUGCCCUUCGGUGACCCUGCUCCAAGCCAGGCCUGUGUCAACGAGAUGCCAGCCUCCUCUGGACCAGCCCUAGGUGAGCUGAGUGCAGAGGGAAAGCCGGCCAGACACCGGUUCACAUCCCAGCUCUGCUACUUAAUAUCCCUGUCCCCCCUGGCAAGUCAUGAGCUUCCCUGAGCCUCAGUUUCCUCAUCUGGAAAAUGGGGAGGCUUCCGGCACCUCCCUGCAGGGUCACAGUGAGGAUGACACGCGUUCAUAGGGGUUUGUAAGGCGCAUAGAGUGGGGCCUGACCGGUGAGGUCACCGGUACCUGGUGGGGGCGGGAGAGCAUCUCAGCCUGGGAUGGGGGGCAGGGGGCAAGCCCACCCUAAGGGCUUCCAGGCUCCGGACGAGGGUCCUGGGACAGCGACAGAAGGGCGCUGAGGGGCAAGAUGGGCGCCAAGCAGGUGGGGCUGUCCCUAGGACCUUCCUUGAUGAAACAGGCAUCUUCCCGGAUCCAGGGGGGCCGCAACCUCAUUUUGCAGAGGAGGAAAAUGAGGUGUCAAGAGAGGAAGGGCCUUGGGCAGAGGGGCUCAUGAGGACGACAGCGAGAACCACUCCCGUUCCCUGGCCCCUGGCCCCAGGGGCCCAGCCUUGGGGGGCUGCCUUGGGGGUGGAGGGACACAAGCCACCCCCAGCCCUUGGCCCAAAGGGUGGCCACCUGAUGGGACCUGCUCCCAGGCCACCCACUGACUGCACCCCACUUAAAGGGGCUGCUGGAGUUCCUGUCAUGGCGAAGUGGUUAACGAAUCCGACUAGGAACCAUGAGGUAGCGGGGUGGGGACGCCUGGUACCCACAAAGUCGUGACCUUAGAUGCUCAAGGAGAAUGGGAUUCAUGGGGGGCUUGGAUACACACGUAUCAUUCUGACCUCGAAGGACAGACACGGCUUCUUACAACCCCCCAAGCCGCCCACUGUGUGCAGCCCACGAUGGGAGCCCUCUCACCCAUAGUCACUCCUACACAUCGCCCUCACCAACACCCCAGACUUUGGAUCAAAGGGGGCCCGAACUCCAGAAACAAACAUCAAAACGUGGGAGGCGGAGAAGACGGGAGGGAGCCCCUAGGCCGCUGCACACGGUACAGCUCCACCCAAAGACCUGAGAUUGUGCAGUGCCCAACCUGUGCCACGCAGCAGCCGUUCAGAACCCCAGGGGGACCUGCAGCCCUGGUGACGGUGGCCAUGUUGCCUUGGACACCUCUCUCUCCAGAACAGAGCGGGGCAGCUGUCCCCCCAAAAGACCCCCUCCUCGCUAUCCUGCAUACACUGUGCACCCCCAACCCCUCGCCCAGCCCCAGCCCUCCACUCAGCAGGACCCCCACCCAUGCCCUCCACGGCGGCACCUGUGGCUUGGCAGGGCCUGGCGGUGGCGGUGGCGGUGGCGGUGGCGGGUGGGGGGAGGAAGGCAGGCACAGACAUCCGCCGCCCCUCCCCCGCUCCCGGGCUCACCUCCAGCUCCCGUGGUGACAGCCCGCCUCCCACAGCUCUGAGAGAACAGAGCCAGGCUGUGUUCACGUGUCCCCCCGCAGGGACCACACGGCGGGCAGGAGGGCAGGCGGGCGGGGGAGCAGAGCCACCACCCCACGCUGCCAGGCCACAGGCUCUGUCUGUGCCCAAACCUGCCAUUAGGGAGAGGCGAGGCGGCCAGACCAGCCCACCCAGCCCUUGAACCCCCCCAGACCAGCCCCUGGGGACCAAGGCGGUCCCCAAGGAUGGGGCCGGAGUGAUGUUUCAACGGCUCAGCGUUCCCACGCUAUGGGGCGGACAUCCUUGGCUCUUCCUAUUUCCCAGAUGGGAAAACUGAGGCUCAGAGAGGGCGCACAGAUCUGCCUGCAGGGUCUGGUCCUGAGACUGUGGACAGCAUCUCCCCAAGCUCUGCUUCCUGGGGGUCUAGGGGGAGGAGCUGGGGAGGGGCUGGAGCAGUGCCUGGGGUCCCCGAGGGCUCAGGAGGGCAGUUGCUUUGGCCCAAGGAGGCAG